CCUACGGGAGGCAGCAGUGGGGAAUAUUGGGCAAUGGGCGCAAGCCUGACCCAGCAACGCCGCGUGAAGGAAGAAGGCUCUCGGGUUGUAAACUUCUUUUUUCAGGGACGAAGCAAGUGACGGUACCUGCGGAAUAAGCCUCGGCUAACUACGUGCCAGCAGCCGCGGUAAUACCUAGGUGGCAAGCGUUAUCCGGAUUUACUGGGUGUAAAGGGCGUGUAGGCGGGAAAGCAAGUCAGAUGUGAAAACCAUGGGCUCAACCUGUAGCCUGCAUUUGAAACUGUUUGUCUUGAGUACUGGGGAGGCAGACGGAAUUCGUGGUGUAGCGGUGAAAUGCGUAGAUAUUAGGAGGAACACCGGUGGCGAAGGCAGUCUGCUGGACAGCAACUGACGCUGAGGCGCGAAAGCGUGGGGAGCAAACAGGAUUAGAUACCCUGGUAGUC
This 443-nucleotide ribosomal RNA is filed under the name uncultured bacterium. RNAcentral's name for it is "partial 16S ribosomal RNA". It matches the Rfam family "Bacterial small subunit ribosomal RNA", at positions 338 to 795 of the family's 1533-position model. The record is from RNAcentral.